GGAUUAGAUACCCUGGUAGUCCUAGCUGUAAACGAUGAUCACUGGGUGUGGGGGGUCGAACCUCUGUGCCGAAGCUAAUGCGAUAAGUGAUCCGCCUGGGGAGUACGUUCGCAAGAAUGAAACUCAAAGGAAUUGACGGGGACCCGCACAAGCGGUGGAGCAUGUGGUUUAAUUCGACGCAACGCGAGGAACCUUACCAGUCCUUGACAUCCUAAGAAUUUAGUGGAGACACUUUAGUGCCCCUUCGGGGGAACUUAGAGACAGGUGGUGCAUGGCUGUCGUCAGCUCGUGCCG
This 294-nucleotide ribosomal RNA is filed under the name uncultured bacterium. RNAcentral describes it as "partial 16S ribosomal RNA". It matches the Rfam family "Bacterial small subunit ribosomal RNA", at positions 775 to 1067 of the family's 1533-position model. The record is from RNAcentral.